Molecule: long non-coding RNA, 575 nt
Organism: Pogoniulus pusillus (Red-fronted tinkerbird)
Lineage: Eukaryota; Metazoa; Chordata; Aves; Piciformes; Lybiidae
Exons: 4
Source: RefSeq, a predicted model, not a curated record
GUUGUAAUGGAAAGAUGGCACAUGCUCCAACUCAUGUAGAGUACCUGUAGAAAGCAAGUGCUCCAUGGCAAUAUGAAAUGGUACUCUACUAUCUCUUCUUUCACUGCUGUGAAAUGAUGCAUCCUGGGGCUUCAAUCUUGUAAGAAAUGGCUGAAAAGCAGUUCUCAAGACAUAGACCAGCAAGAGAAAACAAACUUAGUUCCACAAAGCUGAUUUACUGCAGUGUUUGUUUGGAUCCAAUGGAUCCUGCGUGAAAAGUGAACCUUUGCCCGAAAGAGGAUGUGAUUUUUCCAUUGAAAACAUCAUGUAAUCCUGGAAAGGCAAUUGCUGACCUCAUUAAAGCAAAUGGGCUUGCUGGCUCCCUAUCACUGGUGUUACAUAGACUUUCUUGAGAAGAGAGACAGAUGAAGACAACAGAAGACUUCACCUAAGGAAUUAGGCUUCAGAACAUAGAUCUCCUCAUUGCUGCCCAGAAUCAGAAGUCAUUCUCAUCCUAAUGUCUGACCAAGUUCAGCAGAGCUGAACACACGAAACAGAGGACUUCAUCACACUCUUUAAGAAUAAAAGAAACCUGA